This 73-nucleotide transfer RNA is filed under the name Danionella translucida. It matches the Rfam family "tRNA". From Rfam's summary of the family: Transfer RNA (tRNA) molecules are approximately 80 nucleotides in length. Their secondary structure includes four short double-helical elements and three loops (D, anti-codon, and T loops). RNAcentral also lists the same sequence under 1 other name. Lineage: Eukaryota; Metazoa; Chordata; Actinopteri; Cypriniformes; Danionidae. The record is from Rfam by way of RNAcentral.
GCCGAAAUAGCUCAGUUGGGAGAGUGUUAGACUGAAAAUCUAAAGGUCCCUAGUUCAAUCCUGGAUUUCGGCA